GACGAACGCUGGCGGCGUGCUUAACACAUGCAAGUCGAACGGUGAAGCGAGUGCUUGCACUCGUGGAUCAGUGGCGAACGGGUGAGUAACACGUGAGUAACCUGCCCAUCACUCUGGGAUAAGCACUGGAAACGGUGUCUAAUACUGGAUACGACCAACCCUUGCAUGGGGUGUUGGUGGAAAGAUUUAUCGGUGAUGGAUGGACUCACGGCCUAUCAGCUUGUUGGCGGGGUAAUGGCCCACCAAGGCGACGACGGGUAGCCGGCCUGAGAGGGUGACCGGCCACACUGGGACUGAGACACGGCCCAGACUCCUACGGGAGGCAGCAGUGGGGAAUAUUGCACAAUGGGCGAAAGCCUGAUGCAGCGACGCCGCGUGAGGGAUGACGGCCUUCGGGUUGUAAACCUCUUUCAGCAGGGAAGAAGCGAAAGUGACGGUACCUGCAGAAGAAGCACCGGCUAACUACGUG
RNAcentral lists this ribosomal RNA (469 nucleotides) under uncultured bacterium. RNAcentral's name for it is "partial 16S ribosomal RNA". It matches the Rfam family "Bacterial small subunit ribosomal RNA", at positions 28 to 507 of the family's 1533-position model. The record is from RNAcentral.